This is a long non-coding RNA of Paramacrobiotus metropolitanus, 755 nucleotides long. RefSeq lists it as uncharacterized. The record is from RefSeq and is a predicted model, not a curated record. NCBI's taxonomy places the organism in Eukaryota, Metazoa, Tardigrada, Eutardigrada, Parachela, Macrobiotidae. The transcript is spliced from 2 exons.
CUUCGUGACAAUUACCAUCAAUACAAUGCAGUGAAAUAAUGACAACAUCAUUUUGAUCGCCAUUACGAGCAUCAUCAGGCUACAUCAUUUCUAGAAAUAUGCGGAACCAACAGGAUCAUGAUGUCAGACGAGUUUUGCUGGGUAAUGGUUCCAGUCUACCUAUAUAAACACCAGCGGCAUUGCUUAAAAAACAAUUGCAAACUUGACUUCUUCUACGCCACUGUAGCCGUAUAUGCUGCUGUUUCAUUAUCCGUCUGGACUCUGGAAGCCUUUUGCCAUUUCGACCGAGCUAUUAACGGUUGUCACUUGUCAGACUGCCCAACAGAAUCAUGGCCGAUAAAGCCGCUCGGGAUAAUCGUGCCAACCAGUGUAAUCCCAACCAUACGCCAACGGGACCUGGCCGCAACACCGGAUACCAUGGAGCCGGUACCAAGACCGACCUGAACAAUCACGCCAACCAGAUGAACCCCAAUAAUCCCGAAUAUAAAGGCGUCAACAAAGGUCAAAAGUGAACCAGGUUCGAAAGGAUACCGGAAUUACCUAAAAACUGGGCAACAUUUUCGUGGUGAAUUCUGCCCAAAUACUGCAGUGCGUUUUUCGAAUACUGCGUUUGUGUUUAUGCCGACGUUGUCGAAGUUUGGCUUCUGUUAUUUUUUUCUGCAACAACAAUUAAGAGUCAGCAAGUGAACUACCUCGUAUCUCGAAGCCGAUGUCAUUUUUACGUGCUGUUGUAACUGAAUAAAGCGUGCACAAGA